CCCUUAGACGUUCCGGGCCGCACGCGCGCUACACUGACGAAGGCAACGAGCUUUCCUUUACCGAAAGGUACGGGUAAUCUUUUGAAACUUCGUCGUGCUGGGGAUAGAUCCUUGCAAUUUUUGAUCUUAAACGAGGAAUUCCUAGUAAGCGCAAGUCAUCAACUUGCGUUGAUUACGUCCCUGCCCUUUGUACACACCGCCCGUCGCUACUACCGAUUGAAUGGUUUAGUGAGGCCUUCGGAUCCGCGACUCGUUUUGUGGAGAAGUUGGACAAACUCAGUCAUUUAGAGGAAGUAAAAGUCGUAACA
This 308-nucleotide ribosomal RNA is filed under the name uncultured eukaryote. Its description in RNAcentral is "partial 18S ribosomal RNA". It matches the Rfam family "Eukaryotic small subunit ribosomal RNA", at positions 1470 to 1796 of the family's 1831-position model. The record is from RNAcentral.